GAAGAAAGAGUGUUUUUGUGUGUGCUGGGUUUUUGUUUUUGAAACCAGUGAAGGCAAUGCCCAGCCUGGAACCUUUAUUUGAUGGAGCACAAGGAGGUUAAGUGACUUGCUCAGGAUCACACAGUGAGUCAGUAGUGGCAGAGAGGAGUAAGGAGCCAGGGGCUGAAGCCACGGAGCCAGCCCAACCAGCUGAGCACAGCACUCCCCUCACAGCACCAGCACUCACCACAACCGCGCUGUCUGAAGAGCACAAUUUCGUUUGCGGGACUGUGGAUUGGGGAUUCAUUGUUAUUGUUUUGUUUUUGGCCUGCAGGCCAGCCAUGUUCCCCCGAUGCCAUCGCUGGUAGAGGG
Molecule: long non-coding RNA, 351 nt
Organism: Acipenser ruthenus (sterlet)
Lineage: Eukaryota; Metazoa; Chordata; Actinopteri; Acipenseriformes; Acipenseridae
Exons: 3
Source: RefSeq, a predicted model, not a curated record